This 30-nucleotide non-coding RNA is filed under the name Mus musculus (house mouse). Lineage: Eukaryota; Metazoa; Chordata; Mammalia; Rodentia; Muridae. The record is from RNAcentral.
UCCAGGAGUAGUCCUUGAUGCCCUUGUUGC